RNAcentral lists this transfer RNA (68 nucleotides) under Anelytra multicurvata. RNAcentral describes it as "tRNA-Gln". It matches the Rfam family "tRNA". From Rfam's summary of the family: Transfer RNA (tRNA) molecules are approximately 80 nucleotides in length. Their secondary structure includes four short double-helical elements and three loops (D, anti-codon, and T loops). The record is from RNAcentral. Lineage: Eukaryota; Metazoa; Arthropoda; Insecta; Orthoptera; Tettigoniidae.
AUUUAUAUAGUUUAAUAAUAAAACAAUACAUUUUCAUUGUAUAAAUAAUAUUCCAAUAUUUAUAAAUG